CGUCCUGGCCGUGAGGAGCCGGAACGGGCCCCGAGUCCGCGUUUGCGCAGAGCAUCGUAUCCUCGCGGGAGCGAACCCGGGGCGCCACACGCCUCUGCCCCCGCUAGGCAAGGCGGGUCCGUGCCCGGGGCAGAGCGACCCCCUCCUCGCCGGGCAGCGUGGUGGAGCGGCGUGAGGCUUGACGGGGACGCGCGGUGUCGUUGGCGGGAGGCAGCACCAGUACCGAGUUUUGUCAUUUUUUUCUCAUGGAAUAGGUGGACAGGAGUCUUGGGACCUCCUCUGUAUCUGAGGUGUAAGCUGUGUGGGACUGAAGGCCUGAGUCCAGCACUCCCAGGGCAUCACUUUCUUGUUCACAAAGGCCACUGCUGUGGACUAGACCUUCAAUACUAACUCAGUGAGAAGAUCCACCUGGAACAAACUGGUCUUCAACCACUACCUUCCUCAAAGAACAAAAUAUAAACGCAUCAAGUUUUGCCUCCACUGGCUCUUCAGUGGAAAAUUCUAUCACCAGCUGUUUUUCUACAUAUUAAAAUGGAAUAAUCGGAGACUAAAACCAGUCAAGCAACUCCUCCAGUUUUAAGCAUGCAUUACUCUCCUGUCACAACCAUGCCACAGAAACUGAUGAAAUACUGUGGUAUUAAACAGACUGUACCUCAAAUGAGCAAUUUUCUAGUACAAUAAAGGUGUAAGUACACCAGGUUCAGUUUAAGUACAA
Molecule: long non-coding RNA, 715 nt
Organism: Malaclemys terrapin pileata
Lineage: Eukaryota; Metazoa; Chordata; Testudines; Emydidae
Exons: 3
Source: RefSeq, a predicted model, not a curated record